Molecule: ribosomal RNA, 253 nt
Filed under: uncultured bacterium
Lineage: Bacteria
Description: partial 16S ribosomal RNA
Rfam family: Bacterial small subunit ribosomal RNA
Source: RNAcentral
UACGAAGGGGGCUAGCGUUGUUCGGAAUACUGGGCGUAAAGCGCGCGCAGGCGGUCUUCCAAGUCAGUGGUGAAAGCCCGGAGCUCAACUCCGGAACUGCCAUUGAAACUGUUGGACUUGAGUACGAGAGAGGUGAGUGGAAUUCCCAGUGUAGAGGUGAAAUUCGUAGAUAUUGGGAAGAACACCGGUGGCGAAGGCGGCUCACUGGCUCGUAACUGACGCUCAGGCGCGACAGCGUGGGGAUCAAACAAGG